CGGACGGGUGAGUAACGACGUGGAAAACCUAGCCGUAUACUGGGGAGUAACACUUAGAAAUAGGUGCUAAUACCGCAUAAGCGCACAGCUUCGCAUGAAGCGGUGUGAAAAACUACUGGUGGUAUACGAUGGUUCCGCGUCUGAUUAGCUAGUUGGUGGGGUAAUGGCCUACCAAGGCAACGAUCAGUAGCCGGCCUGAGAGGGUGAACGGCCACAUUGGGACUGAGACACGGCCCAAACUCCUACGGGAGGCAGCAG
This 258-nucleotide ribosomal RNA is filed under the name uncultured bacterium. RNAcentral describes it as "partial 16S ribosomal RNA". It matches the Rfam family "Bacterial small subunit ribosomal RNA", at positions 99 to 354 of the family's 1533-position model. The record is from RNAcentral.